CAAGAGGGCCAGGUGGUCGCCCCGAUCUGAUCGGGGAGGAAAGUCCGGACUCCCUCGGGCGAGGUGCUGGGUAACGCCCAGGCGUCGUGAGGCGACGGAAAGUGCCACAGAGAGCAGACCGCCGACGUCCCCGGUCUCGAUCGGGGGCGGGCAAGGGUGAAAGGGUGCGGUAAGAGCGCACCAGGCCCGGUGGUGACACCGGGUGCUGGCAAACCCCACCUGGAGCAAGGCCAAAUAGGGGGACAUCCGCCUCGCGCGGUAGCGGCGCCCGACCGCGUCCCCGGGUAGGCCGCACGAUCCUUCCGGCAACGGGAGGACUAGAGAGAUGACCACCGCCCCGGCUGCCGCCGGGGCACAGGAUCCGGCUUAUCGGCCCUCUUGGCCA
RNAcentral lists this RNase P RNA (385 nucleotides) under Chloroflexota bacterium. RNAcentral describes it as "Chloroflexi bacterium RNase P RNA component class A". It matches the Rfam family "Bacterial RNase P class A". From Rfam's summary of the family: Ribonuclease P (RNase P) is a ubiquitous endoribonuclease, found in archaea, bacteria and eukarya as well as chloroplasts and mitochondria. Its best characterised activity is the generation of mature 5'-ends of tRNAs by cleaving the 5'-leader elements of precursor-tRNAs. Cellular RNase Ps are ribonucleoproteins. Lineage: Bacteria; Bacillati; Chloroflexota. The record is from RNAcentral.